This 253-nucleotide ribosomal RNA is filed under the name uncultured bacterium. Its description in RNAcentral is "partial 16S ribosomal RNA". It matches the Rfam family "Bacterial small subunit ribosomal RNA", at positions 524 to 776 of the family's 1533-position model. The record is from RNAcentral.
UACGUAGGGUCCGAGCGUUGUCCGGAAUUACUGGGCGUAAAGAGCUCGUAGGUGGUUUGUCACGUUGUUCGUGAAAACCCACAGCUCAACUGUGGGCGUGCGAGCGAUACGGGCAGACUAGAGUACUGCAGGGGAGACUGGAAUUCCUGGUGUAGCGGUGGAAUGCGUAGAGAUCGAGAGGAACACCCGUGGCGAAGGCGGCUCCCUGGCCGAACACUGACGCUGAGACGCGAAAGCGUGGGGAGCGAACGGG